Molecule: ribosomal RNA, 432 nt
Filed under: uncultured bacterium
Lineage: Bacteria
Description: partial 16S ribosomal RNA
Rfam family: Bacterial small subunit ribosomal RNA
Source: RNAcentral
AACGAACGCUGGCGGCAUGCCUAACACAUGCAAGUCGAACGAGACCUUCGGGUCUAGUGGCGCACGGGUGCGUAACGCGUGGGAACCUGCCCUUAGGUUCGGAAUAACUCCCCGAAAGGGGUGCUAAUACCGGAUAAUGUCUUCGGACCAAAGAUUUAUCGCCUUUGGAUGGGCCCGCGUUGGAUUAGCUAGUUGGUAGGGUAAAAGCCUACCAAGGCGACGAUCCAUAGCUGGUCUGAGAGGAUGAUCAGCCACACUGGGACUGAGACACGGCCCAGACUCCUACGGGAGGCAGCAGUGGGGAAUAUUGGACAAUGGGCGAAAGCCUGAUCCAGCAAGGCCGCGGGAGUGAUGAAGGCCUUAGGGUGGUAAAGCUCUUUUACCCGGGAUGAUAAGGACAGUACCGGGAGAAUAAGCUCCGGCGAACUCCGG